Molecule: long non-coding RNA, 7534 nt
Filed under: Panax ginseng (ginseng)
Lineage: Eukaryota; Viridiplantae; Streptophyta; Magnoliopsida; Apiales; Araliaceae
Description: long non-coding RNA (PGIN_LNC013519)
Source: RNAcentral
CCCUGGGGGCCCAGAUCGAGGGCUUUCUUGGCCCAGGUGGCGCACGACUCCGGAAGGCGGAGGAUGGCGGGGGUGCGGGUGGCGGCAAGGGCGUGGAGACAAGGGAGAGCGUCGGAGACGCCGCCAUGGCCGUGCUCCAUGUCGACGACGACGAAGUCGUAGCCGGAGAGGCCAGCGAUCUCGGCGAGGGUAGGUGAGAAGCUGAGAAGAAAGAGGCCGUAGAGGGUGUCGCCAUUUUUGAGGCGGGUUUUGAGGGUUGGAGGUGGGGCCAUGGUUGAUAGCGACGAUGAGGAGGAGGAGCAGAUUAUCUGGGCUUUGUUGGUUCUUUGUUUAGAGAGACGGAUGAUGGUGGUAGUAGUAAUAGUGGGGGAGAAGGGGCGGAAUAAGGUUUUAGGAGAAGGAGGAAUGGAGGAGAGGGGUUUCUUGAGGGUUGAGAACAGUAAGGAAGAAGUAGUGGGAGUGAAGGAGGGGAGAGUGGUGGCCAUAGCUAGCGACUGAUUUUGGUGCUGUAGGUGUUCUGACUUUUGAGAAAUGGGUCUGUGGUGCUGUCUAUAUAUAUAUGACCUGUGACUACUCUGUGAGUGACGGGAAUGGGAUGGAUAAAUGGGUCUGUGGUUUGUCUAUAUUAUGACCUUUGUUUUGCUAAAUUUUAAAAAUGCAUUGAAUGAAAAAGAUUAUAGGGGCAUAACCAAAAAGCAUUAUACCUAAAACAUCAUAGAGGCAUACCACAAUGAUGAUCAUACAUACUAUAAUAGAAAGAGGACAUUUACAAUUUUCAAAUACGGAGGAGAAAUGAGUGUUGAGAGAUUGAUUUUUGAAACAAUGUAAUGCAGAGGAAUGUAAUCCGCAUUUUCAUUUGAUCAUUUGUAAGAUAUAUCUUUGGCAAUGUGAAACUAUAUGCGCAAUAUUCAGGCACAAGCUCAUGAUUUACUACUUUGUUAUCUUCAAAUUGUUUUCUACUCUUAUAACUCCAAAAUCAGUCACCACGAGAAAAAAUUCAAUUGAGUACUGCAUGUGUUGAGCAUUGAAAAAAUAAAGUGGUCCAAAGACUCAAAACUCCUGAACACAGACAGAGUUGGCAUAAUUGAUAAGGGUGAUUUUUUUUACAAGUAUAUGCCAUCUUCCCUUUCUUCUCCUAACAUUUUAUUUAGCUGACUGCAUCCCCUGGAGUGUUGCCUGUCCAACUGUCCCACAUGCAAUUGCUUUCUUUUGUUCAUGCUAAAAUACUAUCUUUUUUCCUGUUCCCCAUGACUGCCCCAGCCCAUUUAUUUCCCCUUUUCUUUUUGUCAAUGAAUGAAUGUAAAUAUCACUAGAUCUGAUAACAAUAUAACAACCCAUGACACAAAUUAGUAGUAAUCAGUCUGGCACUUUAUCACUCGGGCCAAUGAAAAGUUACUCUGUUUAUAUAUGUAUAUAUUUCUCUUUGAUUUGAUAUAAAGAGAGAAUAAGCUUAAGAGAUGGCAAGCCUUAGAACUCAGAGAAACCUGUUAUGGUAUACUUGUCUCCAAUUUCUUCUGAUGAUCCAAACCAAAGUGAUCUUCUGCUACCAAUACAUGGUUGGAGAUUUAGAUGCUUGGGGUAUACCCACUUCAUCAAAUCGACUUGUCUACACCAAGUGGUCUAAGAAUCACAACUUGAACAUCGGAGACUCUCUCAGUGAGUUUGUUCUUCUCAAGUUUGAUCUCUAGUUUUAAAAUUUUCAAAAAUGUAUGCUAUGUUUGCUUAUUCUCAAAUCCCAAAUGAUUAUGUUUAUGCGCAGUUUUCCUAUACCCACCAAGUCAAGAUUCAGUUGUUCAAGUAACAGAGCAAUCAUACCAGAGCUGCAACCUAACAGAUCCAAUAUUGUACAUGAACAACGGCAAUUCUCUCUUCAAUGUUACUUCACCAGGAGACUACUAUUUCACUAGUGGACAACAGGGCCACUGCCAAAAAUCACAAAAACUCCACAUUUCUGUGCUCUUUUCUGGUAAUGGGUCUUUAGCCUCCUCACCUUCUUAUGGUCCUAGUGCAUUACCAAAAACCUCACCUUCUUAUCCGAAUGUGUUUGGGUCAAUUCCAGCGUCGCCUUCUUCCUCUCCUAUAGUCAGCAUUCCGGUCUUCUCGUCUGCAGCUACAGUAUUUUUGAUAUGUGCACUUGUCACUAGCACCAUUUGAAUUUCAAUGUCCUACAAACAAAAAAAAUACAUUUCAACAUCCAGUUCUCAUAUUGAUUGUUUUGAUAUAUUUACCUCAAAUUUGGUUACCUUUCUCGUUCGAACCCAUCUCUGAAUAGAAGUCAUUUGCAGAAGAUUCUUCAUCAUGCAACGCAUUGCCAGCCAGUAGUAACAUGUUUCCUAGCAAGGUGCAAGUAUUUCACUAGGGUCAAAAUAUUAUUUGUGAAACUUCACUUCUAAAUAUUCACAAUUGUAUGAAAAUAUUUCUAAUCUUUCGCAUGAAAAUAUAUAUAUCAAAAUAGAAUAAAAAAUCAAUGCAAGAAACCAACAGCAGUGGUUUCAUCAGGAGUUAGUAACACUGUUAUACCUAGUAUGGAGUUUGAGAAGAAUUUGCCUAUUAGAGGAUUAACUAGGGAGCAACUAGCUGAAAAGAGGAGGAAGAAAUUAUGUUAUUCGUGUGAUGAGCCUUAUACUGUGGGACAUCAAUGCAAGAAACCUCACCUAUUUUUGAUGUUACCUUCUCAAGAAGGUUGUGAUAAUGAAGAAGAAGUGGGGGACUGCUAUGAAGAGGAAAAACCUCCAGAUGACAAUGAAUGUAAGGUACAUGAGGCUCACAUUACCCUACAUGCUUUGUCAGGACACAGGGUUAAUAAUACUAUUAGAAUUUUGGGAGUGGCAAAUGGAAAGAGUAAGGAUAUUGAUUGACAGUGGAAGUACAAACAACUUCCUAGAUCCUCAAGCUGCCAAAAGGAUCUAUGUAGCUUCCACUCAAGAUACUAAACCUAUGCCAGUCUCUGUAGCUGAUGGAUUCAAGGUAGAAAGUUUGCAGGAAUGUACACAGUUGUCUUGGUCAGUUCAAGGGGAGUCUUUUGUUACUGACUUUAGAGUCCUGCCCUUGGGGGGAAUAGAUGUUGUUCUGGGUGUGCAAUGGCUUAAGCACUUCAACCCAGUUACUUUUGACUUUGAUCAACUCCAGUUAUCAUUUAUGAAGGGCAAUAAGGCAGUAGUACUCAAGGGUGAAUCAGAUGUGGUUACUCCUACUGUUCAGCUCAUGUCUCCUGGGGAGUUUCAGCAGGCCUUGAAUGCAGCAACACAUGGGUAUUUUGGUUACCUCUUUGGGAUGAAUUCUAAUGCCCCUGACAACACAGAACCACCCAUUGGAAACUUGGAGGCUGAAGUAGUUAAGGAAAGAAAUAAGGACUGCUGUCAGUUGGAAAAAGUGCUGCAGAAUUUUUCUGAGGUGUUUAAGGAAUCACAAGGGCUGCCACCAGAUAGAGCACACAAUCACCACAUCAAUUUAAAAGAAGGAAGUCAACCAGUUAACUUGAGGCCAUAUAGAUAUCCCUAUGUGCAAAAAGAGGAGAUUGAGAAGAUUGUAAAUAAAAUGAUGACUUCGGUGAUCAUUCAGCCAAGCACAAGCCCCUAUGCUUUUCCAGUUCUUCUAGUAAAGAAACAAGAUGGAACCUAGAGGAUGUGUGUAGAUUAUAGAUCCUUGAAUGAGAUGACAGUCAAGGAUAAGUUCCCCAUUCCGGCUAUUGAUGAGCUCCUGGAUGAACUACAUGGUUCUAGAUGGUACUCCAAGUUGGACCUCAGAUCAGGUUAUCACCAAAUCAAAGUACACCCACCAGAUAUCCCUAAAACUGCCUUUAGGACACAUACUAGACAUUUUGAGUUUUUAGUUAUGCCAUUUGGGUUCACUAAUGCUCCAGCUACCUUUCAAUCCUUAUUUGAGGAAGUUUAUCCUAGUCUUCUUUGAUGACAUAUUAGUAUAUAGUCCCAGUUAUGAAGAACACCUUAAACAUUUGCAAUUAACCCUACAGCUGCUCAAAGAUAACACUUUAUAUGCUAAAAGGAGUAAGUGUCUCUUUGGUACAGAACAAGUUAAGUAUUUGGGACACAUCAUUACCCCAAAUGGAGUAUCCACUGACCCUGAAAAAAUCUGCUGCACGAAGGAAUGGCCAAUUCCUCAAAACAUUAGAAGUCUAAGGGGAUUUCUGGGCCUUACUGGCUAUUACAGAAGGUUCAUCAGAAACUAUGGCCUUAUUAGUAAACCUUUGACUGAUUUAUUGAAGAAGAAUAAUUUCCAAUGGAAUGAUAGUGCUACUACUGCUUUCUUCUCUUUGAAAAAUGCUAUGAUGAGAGCACCAGUCCUAGCUAUGCCCAAUUUUGCUCUACCCUUCACUUUAGAAACUGAUGCUUCCUAUUUUGGCUUGGGAGCAAUUUUGAUGCAACAAGGGAAGCCUAUAGCUUAUCUAAGCAAGGCCAUAUCUCCUAAACACUUAGGUUGGUCCACUUAUGAGAAGGAAUUAAUGGUUGUGGUCUAUGCUGUUAACAAAUGGAGGCACUACUUGCUUGGGAAUAAGGUGUUAAUUAAGAUUAUCAUCAAAGUCUUAAGUACUUGCUUGAUCAAAGAAUCACUACCAUUAACCAACAAAAGUGGAUCACCAAAUUGAUGGGUUUGGAUUAUGAGAUCGUGUAUAAAAAGGGUAAAGAAAAUCUUGCAGUAGACUGCCUAUCUAGACAAAUACCAGGCCAUGAUUCUGAGCCAAGUUGCUUAGCCCUAUCUACUUGUAUUCCCCACUGGAUAAUGAAUCCUGGGAGUCUGAUCAAGGGCUUAAGGAUUUAAUAUUGCAGCUCCAGUUAGACCCUCAGUCACUGCCUGGUUAUUCUUUUCAAAAUGGAAGAUUAAAGUUCCAAGGCAGGCUGGUAGUUGGCCCAAAUGAUGCCUUAAAGGCUAAGCUCCUAUCUGAAUUCCAUGAAUCUCCUAUUGGUGGUCACUCGGGUAUCACAGGUACAUAUGAAAGGAUAAAUAAAAUAUUUUUUUGGUCCAAUAUGAGGAGUGAUGUUACUCAGUUUGUUAAAAGCUGUGAUGUGUGCCAACAAAACAAGCAUGAAACGGUGGCCCUUCCAGGACUAUUACAGCCCUUGCCUAUUCCAGAUAAGCCAUGGGAGGAUAUAUCCAUGGAUUUUAUUGAAGGAUUACCAAAGUCUAGAGGACAGACAGUCAUAUGGGUGGUAGUUGAUAGGCUAACCAAGUAUGGUCAUUUCAUUCCUCUUCAUCAUCCUUUUUCUGCUGCAGAUUUGGCUCAAGUAUACAUUGAACAAAUUUAUAAACUACAUGGUUUUCCCUCCUCCAUUGUGUCUGAUAGGGAUAAAAUCUUCAUCAGUCUGUUUUGGCAAUCAUUGUUCAAACUGGUGGGGACAAAACUUCACUUAAGCACUUCAUACCACCCCCAAACUGAUGGCCAGACAAAAAGGCUCAACCAGGUGCUUGAAUGUUAUCUCAAAUGUAUGACUGCAAAUAAACCCACUAACUGGACCAUUUGGUUGCCUCUAGCAGAAUUCUGGUAUAAUUCUCAUUAUCACAGUGGGCUUAAGGUGUCUCCUUUUGAAGCCCUAUAUGGUUACAAGCCUCCUCAUCUCAACUUUCAUCAAUAUGGUCAAAUUAAGGACCCUACUACCAAGUCAUUUUGCAAGGACAGAACUCAACAAUUGCAGUUAUUAAAGCAGAACUUGACAGCAGCUCAGUCUAGGAUGAAAAAUUAUGCUGAUAAGGCAAGGAGUGAAAGGACCUUCUUGGUGGGAGAUUGGGUAUACCUGAGGAUUAAAUCGUACAAACAGUCUACUGUUACUCAAGCUAAAUUUGGAAAGCUUCUUCCCAAAUAUUUUGGCCCCUAUUAGGUUAUAGAAAAAGUGGGAAAAGUCGCCUAUCGACUUAGUUUACCAACUCAAGCUAAGGUCCAUCCUGUGUUCCAUGUGUCCCUUUUGAAGAAGAAGAUUGGCUCCAAGCACACUAGUUCUUCAAUCCUACCUCCUCUAGAUGAACAUGGCCAAUUCUUGGUGGAGCCUAUGGCUAUUCUAGACAGGAAGAUGAUUAAGAAAAACAAUGCAGCUUCAGUUGAGGUAUUGGUGCAGUGGUCCAACACUUUGCCUGAUGAAGCAACUUAGGAGGACUGGGAUGAGUUCCAUAAGAAAUUCCCUCAUUUCCAACCUUGAGGACAAGGUUGUUUUCAUGGGGGGUAGAUUGUAAGGUGAUUAAGUUGGUUAGCUAGGGUCAUCUAUGUCUUUUGUUAUUUUUAUGAGUGGGCAAGUCAGUCUUUUUCCUUCCAUUUGCAUUUCUUCAGCAUGAUGCUCUGUUAGUAGGUUGUUAGGAAUCACAUGGCUGAGCAGGUAUCCAAUCUAGGCUCACGUGAGGAGUAUAUGUAAUGUGCUCUUUGCAGCAGAACCAUUAUGAAUGAAAAUAUAAAAUUGUUCCUUUCUAAACUCUGUUUUCCGUCUGAUCCUUCCUCCCUUUCUACUCCCUCCUUCUGAUUCAAUUUAACUCUUUCCUUAUUUCUUAUGAAUUGUUGCAGCUGCUUGCUUAAGUAACAACUGAACUUAUCCGUUUGUUACAGAUAAUAUCGUAGGGAUAGUAUUACAAAUAAGGGAAUUUCUCAGCAAAAAGAGCCACCACUACAGCACCAUAUAUCCAGUAACACUAGUAACUAUUACAUGGAUAUUCUCUAUGAUAUGCCUUUUAUUACUCGGGGACAUAUACAACCUAUCCACUGACACAACAGUCGACAUAAAAAACAGACACAAGAAUGUAAUCAUCCUCAAUACACUACCAUAAUUCAUGCAAUGCAGCCACGACAUGAUCAAUCUUGUAUCAAAAAAGAGAAAUUGAAAAAUAAUUAACCAAAACAUUUUUAGCUACAUUACAGAAUUCUUAGCUUGUUAUCUUUAUAUCAAGAUUCACUGGUUUCUCAUAUAGGCUGUACCUGAAGCUCCAACAUCGAUGACCUAGGCCAAAGACUAUGAAAAUCAGUAUUUAGCUUGUCAUCUCCACAUCAAGAUUCAUUGGUUUCUCUUCAGACACAUAGGCUGCCUCUCGAUCUCUGACAUCUGCAAACUGUGCUGAUGCGGACUUUGAUUCACCUCCUGUGUAUCGAUCGAAGCUUUGCAAAACCUCUGUGAUCUCUCUAUCGACUUCUCAGUUUUCUAUCGCAGAUUGCAGGACGAGAGCUCCUUUCUUAUUGAUCUGAAUUAGAUUAAUUCGUACCUUACACUUCGCUGAUUGCAGAUGAAGCAAAAGAAAGCGCGAAAAACGCCGGAAACACGAGUAACCGCAGAGAACCCAUAUAACCUGAGGGAACCUAAAUACCUGCCCCAAAAUGGGGCUCCGACCCGAACUGUACGCACUGUAAAUUCACCAAACUGUAAGCAGCUCCCGAACUGCAGAGGAGGAAUAACCGGACGCUAAAAGAAGCGGCGCGUCUGGGCGCGUCAGAUCUCCAAUUGGGUUGCUCUUUCUUCGGCCGUGCUCCAUGUCGACGACUACAAAGUCGUAGCCGGAGAGGCCAGCGAUCUCGGCGAGGGUAGGUGAGAAGCUGAGAAGAAAG